This 269-nucleotide unclassified non-coding RNA is filed under the name Basidiomycota sp. RNAcentral's name for it is "partial contains small subunit ribosomal RNA, internal transcribed spacer 1, and 5.8S ribosomal RNA". The stretch from base 1 to 47 matches the Rfam family "Eukaryotic small subunit ribosomal RNA", at positions 1785 to 1831 of the family's 1831-position model. Lineage: Eukaryota; Fungi; Basidiomycota. The record is from RNAcentral.
AAAGUCGUAACAAGGUUUCCGUAGGUGAACCUGCGGAAGGAUCAUUAUUGAAUGAACAUGGAGUUUGGUUGUCGCUGGCCCCUUCACUGGGGCAUGUGCACGCCUUUCUCUAUUCAUCCACACACACCUGUGAACUUGUGAGACGGAUAGUAGUCCCCCUCGGGGGGCGAGCUCCGUCUGCUAUACAUAAACUCCAGUAAAUAAAUUUGAAUGUCAUUUGAUGUAACGCAUCUAUAAACUAAGUUUCAACAACGGAUCUCUUGGCUCUC